RNAcentral lists this transfer RNA (88 nucleotides) under Capparis spinosa var. ovata. Its description in RNAcentral is "tRNA-Ser". Lineage: Eukaryota; Viridiplantae; Streptophyta; Magnoliopsida; Brassicales; Capparaceae. The record is from RNAcentral.
AGGAGAGAGAGGGAUUCGAACCCUCGAUAGUUCUAUGAACUAUACCGGUUUUCAAGACCGGAGCCAUCAACCACUCGGCCAUCUCUCC